Dermochelys coriacea (leatherback sea turtle) is the source of this 147-nucleotide long non-coding RNA. RefSeq lists it as uncharacterized. The transcript is spliced from 4 exons. Lineage: Eukaryota; Metazoa; Chordata; Testudines; Dermochelyidae. The record is from RefSeq and is a predicted model, not a curated record.
UAUUAGUUAUAAAGAUGGAUAUGACAUGAUUUUAAGUCAAAAAACAACAAGUCAGAUUUGGUCAAAUGAAAUAAAAGCAAAAUGCAUCCUAAAAUGAUCUUAACACUUUCAGUGCCCUUACAAACUUCAAUGCUUCCCACCACAGGC